AGCGAACGUUGGCGGCAGGCUUAACACAUGCAAGUCGAACGGUCCUUCGGGAUAGUGGCGGACGGGUGAGUAACACGUGGGAACGUGCCUUUAGGUUCGGAACAACACAGGGAAACUUGUGCUAAUACCGGAUGUGCCCUUCGGUGGAAAGAUUUAUCGCCUUUAGAGCGGCCCGCGUCUGAUUAGCUUGUUGGUGAGGUAAUGGCUCACCAAGGCGACGAUCAGUAGCUGGUCUGAGAGGAUGACCAGCCACAUUGGGACUGAGACACGGCCCAAACUCCUACGGGAGGCAGCAGUGGGGAAUCUUGCGCAAUGGGCGAAAGCCUGACGCAGCCAUGCCGCGUGAAUGAUGAAGGUCUUAGGAUUGUAAAAUUCUUUCACCGGGGACGACAAUGACGGUACCCGGAGAAGAAGCCCCGGCUAACUUCGUGCCAGCAGCCGCCGUAA
Molecule: ribosomal RNA, 447 nt
Filed under: uncultured bacterium
Lineage: Bacteria
Description: partial 16S ribosomal RNA
Rfam family: Bacterial small subunit ribosomal RNA
Source: RNAcentral